AUCUGAAGCUGACUAAAGAUUAAUCGCUAAGGGAUGGGGAUGCGUCUGAUUAGCUUGUUGGCGGGGUAACGGCCCACCAAGGCGACGAUCAGUAGGGGUUCUGAGAGGAAGGUCCCCCACACUGGUACUGAGACACGGACCAGACUCCUACGGGAGGCAGCAGUGAGGAAUAUUGGUCAAUGGGCGUAAGCCUGAACCAGCCAAGUAGCGUGCAGGAUGACGGCCCUAUGGGUUGUAAACUGCUUUUAUGCGGGGAUAAAGUCACCUACGUGUAGGUGUUUGUAGGUACCGCAUGAAUAAGGACCGGCUAAUUCCGUGCCAGCAGCCGCGGUAAUACGGAAGGUCCGGGCGUUAUCCGGAUUUAUUGGGUUUAAAGGGAGCGCAGGCGGAAGAUUAAGCGUGACGUGAAAUGUACCGGCUCAACCGGUGACGUGCGUCGCGAACUGGUUUUCUUGAGUGAGUACGACGUGUACGGAAUUCGUGGUGUAGCGGUGAAAUGCUUAGAUAUCACGAAGAACUCCGAUUGCGAAGGCAGUGCACGAGUCCUUUACUGACGCUAAAGCUCGAAGGUGCGGGUAUC
This 580-nucleotide ribosomal RNA is filed under the name uncultured rumen bacterium. RNAcentral's name for it is "bacterial SSU rRNA". It matches the Rfam family "Bacterial small subunit ribosomal RNA", at positions 189 to 769 of the family's 1533-position model. The record is from RNAcentral.